GGGGAAUAUUAGUCAAUGGGGGAAACCCUGAACUAGCAACGCCGCGUGAAGGAAGAAGGUCUUCGGAUUGUAAACUUUUGUCUUCAGGGAAGAAAGAAAUGACGGUACCUGAGGAGGAAGCCACGGCUAACUACGUGCCAGCAGCCGCGGUAAUACGUAGGUGGCAAGCGUUGUCCGGAAUUACUGGGUGUAAAGGGUGCGUAGGCGGGUAUGUAAGUCAGGUGUGAAAUUCCGAGGCUCAACUUCGGAACUGCAUUUGAAACUACAUAUCUUGAGUGAAGGAGAGGUCAGUGGAAUUCCGAGUGUAGCGGUGAAAUGCGUAGAUAUUGGGAGGAACACCAGUGGCGAAGGCGACUUACUGGACUUUAACUGACGCUGAUGCACGAAAGCGUGGGUAGCAAACA
RNAcentral lists this ribosomal RNA (404 nucleotides) under uncultured bacterium. RNAcentral's name for it is "bacterial SSU rRNA". It matches the Rfam family "Bacterial small subunit ribosomal RNA", at positions 356 to 774 of the family's 1533-position model. The record is from RNAcentral.